GAAUUUAUGCUGUGAAUGAGGCUCAGAGAGGGCACAUGGCUCACAGCUGAGUGGAUGUGACUUAAGCCAAAAGCCUAGCAGUGGUCCCUGACUUCCCUUUAUCUCGUCCCUCUGCUGACUUGAGGGAGGAAAGCAGUGCUACAGAAGCAGAGAAGAGGGACGACCUCACAGAGGCCCACUGGCUGCUCACAACAGGUGCACGUGCAAGACGACUUCACGGAGACGUGGAGCAGGUCAGCAGCCAAAGUCCUCAGCCAGGAGGUAGCUCGGCUGCGUUUUCAACCCAGGUGUUCUGUGUCUGAGACUUUGUUCAUCCCUUCACCUGCUCUGGCCAGGAAGGGCUCCUUAUCGGACAGGGAGCAGGGGAGGGGAAAGGCUUCAAAAAGAGGCAUCCUUAGACGUUCUCAGCUCAGAGGCAGAGGCCCCAAGAAGCUCAGUUAUGAAGCGCCUCGCACCGACCCAGGGCUGUGGAAAGGGCUCCUGCUGCCUCCCCGGGUCGUUGAGAUGUGCAGCUGCUCUCACGGCUGCCGCCCAAUCCCCCGAGUGAUGCCGGCACAGGCAGAUAGCCUCCGACAUCUGCACUGUCCGGUGACAGACCCAGAGGCACAUGGCCUGUCCCGGUAGAGACACAGCACCAGUGGGGCCCGGGAAUCCACCUGCUGCCUAGGCUCCCUUCAGCUGAAAGCUGCACAGAAAAAUGGAAAGUGGGGGCACCUCGUGCUGGAGAAGUUGCCAGGAGGCCGUUGGGUCAGCAGGUCUGCACUGCUGCGCUCCGCCCCCACCUCCCGCCUCAAAGGAGCUGCUACCCGGAGCUACCUUCCUGGGAGAAGGAAUCAUCCACACACAAGAGGGAUGAGCCUUGAUUUCCAACUGACAGGACUUCAUCAGCUCACAGAAAACCACCCAACGGCUCCGGCAAUCUGUCUUGCCGGGAUAUUCCUGAUCUAUUACAAACGACACAGAAAUCCAUUCCUAAAAAUUCCCAGCAGCUGACGAUGGUGCCAAGGCUGCUGGGAGAAAAGUGGUGAGUGGGCGGUGUAGCUGUGGGCAGCUCCCGGCUGGACGCCCUGGGUCCUGUGCAGCUGACAAGCCUGUCCCUCAUGGGCUGUGUGCCUGGGGCAACUUGCCUUCCCUGAG
Molecule: long non-coding RNA, 1137 nt
Filed under: Equus caballus (horse)
Lineage: Eukaryota; Metazoa; Chordata; Mammalia; Perissodactyla; Equidae
Description: lncRNA (ENSECAG00000052681.1)
Source: RNAcentral